Long non-coding RNA from Musca vetustissima, 401 nucleotides. RefSeq lists it as uncharacterized. The transcript has 2 exons. The record is from RefSeq and is a predicted model, not a curated record. NCBI's taxonomy places the organism in Eukaryota, Metazoa, Arthropoda, Insecta, Diptera, Muscidae.
AUUAGUUAUUCCAAAUUUUGACCCUUUGUGGGGGAGGUACUAGAAGGAGUAGUUCAAUCUUGUCCAUUCUCGCACCUAAUCUUGGGGUAAUGCAAAUAUUACGAUUUGCAAAGUUUGAAGAAAAUCAAAUAAUCCGUUAUGUUUAUAUGCGGUGAACCAUUUUCAAUGAAAUUUUUGAACAUUUGUGGGGGAGGUACCAGAAGGAGUGGACCGAUAUUGCCCAUCUCCGAACUCGAUCUAAGUUUGACAAAAAUAUUACGAUGCUAGAUCGACUCCAAAUGUCCUGAAACGGAUUUGGUCCAAAGAGACCUAGGGUCUAAAACCGUUAUUUCGGCUAGGCACGUUUUGACCGUAUCAAAUGAUACAUACCCUCUUUAGCCAUAUGGCUGAGGGUAUAAAAA